UACAGAGGUCUCAAGCGUUGUUCGGAUUCAUUGGGCGUAGAGGGUGUGUAGGUGGCGCGCUAAGUCGGGUGUGAAAUUUCGGAGCUUAACUCCGAAACUGCAUUCGAUACUGGCGUGCUUGAGGACUGGAGAGGAGACUGGAAUUCAUGGUGUAGCAGUGAAAUGCGUAGAGAUCAUGAGGAAGACCAGUGGCGAAGGCGGGUCUCUGGACAGUUCCUGACGCUGAGGCACGAAGGCCAGGGGAGCAAACGGG
This 253-nucleotide ribosomal RNA is filed under the name uncultured bacterium. RNAcentral's name for it is "partial 16S ribosomal RNA". It matches the Rfam family "Bacterial small subunit ribosomal RNA", at positions 524 to 776 of the family's 1533-position model. The record is from RNAcentral.